This 564-nucleotide ribosomal RNA is filed under the name Sarocladium strictum. RNAcentral describes it as "eukaryotic LSU rRNA". It matches the Rfam family "Eukaryotic large subunit ribosomal RNA", at positions 62 to 648 of the family's 3401-position model. Lineage: Eukaryota; Fungi; Ascomycota; Sordariomycetes; Hypocreales; Sarocladiaceae. The record is from RNAcentral.
AAACCAACAGGGAUUGCCUCAGUAACGGCGAGUGAAGCGGCAACAGCUCAAAUUUGAAAUCUGGCCUCACGGUCCGAGUUGUAAUUUGUAGAGGAUGCUUUUGGCGAGGUGCUUUCCGAGUUCCCUGGAACGGGACGCCAUAGAGGGUGAGAGCCCCGUACGGUAAGACCACCGAGCCUCUGUAAAGCUCCUUCGACGAGUCGAGUAGUUUGGGAAUGCUGCUCUAAAUGGGAGGUGUACGUCUUCUAAAGCUAAAUACCGGCCAGAGACCGAUAGCGCACAAGUAGAGUGAUCGAAAGAUGAAAAGCACUUUGAAAAGAGGGUUAAAAAGUACGUGAAAUUGUUGAAAGGGAAGCAUUCAUGACCAGACUUGGGCUUGGUUGAACAUCCGGCGUUCUCGCCGGUGCACUCUGCCAGUCCAGGCCAGCAUCAGUUUGCCCCGGGGGACAAAGGCGGUGGGAAUGUGGCUCUCUUCGGGGAGUGUUAUAGCCCGCCGUGUAAUGCCCUGGGGCGGACUGAGGAACGCGCUUCGGCACGGAUGCUGGCGUAAUGGUCAUCAAUGAC